This is an RNA transcript of Diachasmimorpha longicaudata, 1679 nucleotides long. RefSeq lists it as uncharacterized. NCBI's taxonomy places the organism in Eukaryota, Metazoa, Arthropoda, Insecta, Hymenoptera, Braconidae. The transcript is spliced from 5 exons. The record is from RefSeq and is a predicted model, not a curated record.
UAUUAUAAAAAGGAGACCCGUGUACAGAUCGAUAUCGAUAUUUCUCGAAGAAAUAUCUCGAAAAUGCGUAAGCGUAAGACAGAAACCGAAGCGACAUCUGUCGAUUAUAUUAGUCGCACAUUGGGCUGGAACAAAUGAACCGGUAAAAACCAUCACAUUUGGCAACGUGUUUGAGUGUUUUUAUCCUAUUAUAAAAAGGAGAUAAUUUAUAAUCGUGAAACAUCAUGACAUCUCCACCUAUUAAAUAUACGACCAACAGAGCCAUUGAUCAUUUCAAUGUUGCAGCUACACUCAUGAAAAUCAUCGGCUACGUCGACAGCAUUGAAGACCUGAGAGAGUUGCCAAAGUCUCCAUCUAAGUGGAUUUACAAGUGCAUUUUAAAUAACAAUGAUGGCAGAAGGGUUCGCAUACUUUGCUCGGGGGAUGAUGCUCUCAAAUACAAGGAUGAGAUCAAGAUGUAUCAGGGAACCUUGAGGGAAAAAAAAUAUCAACGAAUAAAUAACAUAAAUGCCCAGUUCAGUUUUCUAGAUAAUAAAAAUCACUGGAGGGAUUAUUAAAGCGGCCAAUCCACAGUAUCGGCGAUCAACGGACACUGUGAGCGACAAAGAAUUUCAAUUUGCACGUAGGAGCACUUUCGACAUCUUUGGCACAUUUAACAUUACGAAUGGAGCUGACAAUGGAAGGUCGAAGGUCAUCUCAUAUAAAAAAUUGAGAUGGAGAACGUUUGUGCUGCUCGCGGGCCAGUCCAGAUCACUGGAUGGCUCAAAGAGCCAUUCAGAAGCAUUACCACGGUAAGUGGUUCGAGUUAUGGAUCUGGCAUGUUUUGCACAAGGGUCCAUCGCAUGACCAUUCACGUGGUAACAUACAUCCCGAGAGAAGAUUUGAUCGAGGGAAUCAAAAUGACCAUUAAAGGUCGAGUUGAUUGUCGUGGGGAUGGUUUUGUUCUGAAUAUUAACAGCAUGGAUGACAUUGCAGUCCUGACUGAGGAUGUAGCCCUCAAUGAAGAUAAGUUGGAUGAUGCUGUCGAAGCACCUCCUCUCAUUCUCAAACGAGGGGCAGCUGAAUCUGCAUCUGGAGAGGCGAUGGACGUCGCGAAUAAGAAACUGAAAGCUGAAUAGCUUUAAUGACGUGCUAUUUACUCUGGAAGUUCAAUUGCAAAAUUGAAAAUUUUUUCUAUAACAAGUUCUAGACUGUUAUUUUUUCACACAAAAAUUGAGUUCUAUAACAAGUUUAACACUGUUAUUUUUUUACGCAAAAAUUUAAUUCUAUAACAAGUUUAAUACUGUUAUUUUUUUACACAAAAAUGAAACAUUGACAAGCUUGAGCUCUUUAAGAAUCUGAUUUUUUACUUUUAAAGACUGCCAACUUCAUAGCAGUAAGGUUAAUACUCAUUUAGCUUUAACAACCAAAACAGAUGGAAUUAUAAUAAUCUAUUCAUGAACAUUAGUAUUUAUUCAGAAUUUAUUUCAAUAUAUGGCCCUGUUUUUGAAGAAAAAGUAUUACUAAACAUUUGUAUUUUUUAUAUAUAACAGAGAAAACUGAAGACUAAUUAAUUUUAUGAUUAAAGUAGAUAAAGCUCUCCGGAAUCACAGAUAAGUGAUACAAAGGAUGUAUUCAUGUUAAUGUUUGUUCAUAUUUCUUAACAUAUGUUGUAAUGUCAAUUAUAAUUGUUGGAACAU